UACGGAGGGUGCAAGCGUUAUCCGGAUUCACUGGGUUUAAAGGGUGCGUAGGUGGGUAGGUAAGUCAGUGGUGAAAUCCCCGAGCUUAACUUGGGAACUGCCGUUGAUACUAUCUACCUUGAAUAUCGCGUAGGUAAGCGGAAUAUGUCAUGUAGCGGUGAAAUGCUUAGAUAUGACAUAGAACACCAAUUGCGAAGGCAGCUUACUUCACGAUUAUUGACACUGAGGCACGAAAGCGUGGGGAGCAAACAGG
This 253-nucleotide ribosomal RNA is filed under the name uncultured bacterium. RNAcentral describes it as "partial 16S ribosomal RNA". It matches the Rfam family "Bacterial small subunit ribosomal RNA", at positions 524 to 776 of the family's 1533-position model. The record is from RNAcentral.